GAUGAACGCUGGCGGCGUGCCUAAUACAUGCAAGUCGAGCGAACGGACGAGAAGCUUGCUUCUCUGAUGUUAGCGGCGGACGGGUGAGUAACACGUGGAUAACCUACCUAUAAGACUGGGAUAACUUCGGGAAACCGGAGCUAAUACCGGAUAAUAUUUUGAACCGCAUGGUUCAAAAGUGAAAGACGGUCUUGCUGUCACUUAUAGAUGGAUCCGCGCUGGAUUAGCUAGUUGGUAAGGUAACGGCUUACCAAGGCGACGAUGCGUAGCUGACCUGAGAGGGUGAUCGGCCACACUGGAACUGAGACACGGUCCAGACUCCUACGGGAGGCAGCAGUAGGGAAUAUUCCGCAAUGGGCGAAAGCCUGACGGAGCAACGCCGCGUGAGUGAUGAAGGUCUUCGGAUCGUAAAGCUCUGUUAUUAGGGAAGAACAUAUGUGUAAGUAACUGUGCACAUCUUGACGGUACCUAAUGAGAAAGCCACGGCUAACUACGUG
Molecule: ribosomal RNA, 497 nt
Filed under: uncultured bacterium
Lineage: Bacteria
Description: partial 16S ribosomal RNA
Rfam family: Bacterial small subunit ribosomal RNA
Source: RNAcentral